AGCGAACGCUGGCGGCAGGCCUAACACAUGCAAGUCGAACGAACUCUUCGGAGUUAGUGGCGGACGGGUGAGUAACACGUGGGAACGUGCCUUUUGGUUCGGAAUAACUCAGGGAAACUUGUGCUAAUACCGAAUGUGCCCUUCGGGGGAAAGAUUUAUCGCCAUUAGAGCGGCCCGCGUCUGAUUAGCUAGUUGGUGAGGUAACGGCUCACCAAGGCGACGAUCAGUAGCUGGUCUGAGAGGAUGACCAGCCACACUGGGACUGAGACACGGCCCAGACUCCUACGGGAGGCAGCAGGGGGGAAUCUUGCGCAAUGGGCGAAAGCCUGAAGCAGCCAUGCCGCGUGAAUGAUGAAGGUCUUAGGAUUGUAAAAUUCUUUCACCGGGGACGAUAAUGACGGUACCCGGAGAAGAAGCCCCGGCUAACUUCGUG
This 433-nucleotide ribosomal RNA is filed under the name uncultured bacterium. RNAcentral describes it as "partial 16S ribosomal RNA". It matches the Rfam family "Bacterial small subunit ribosomal RNA", at positions 29 to 507 of the family's 1533-position model. The record is from RNAcentral.